UCAGAACUAUGGAAAGAACCAUGUGUGGAGUUUGGCACCACAGAUAUUCUCUGAGUGAUUGAAGUCUCUUCUACCAUGGUGAGUGGUACCAUGGAAGUAAUCUUGUCCCCAGGCCUCCUAAGCUUACUUAUGAUGAAGUGAUGAGACUCUUACCCAAGAAACCAUUACAGAAAAAAAAAUCCUCGCCUAAUAAAAUUGUGCCAGUGAACAAACUCUCAGAUAUAUGGCCAUAUUGACAAGAUCUGCAAUGGUAUCAAAAGAGGUCAAGCUAAUAACCUGAGGAAACAGGAAGAAAACUCCAAUUGUCUUAUACAGAAGGUCUACAAUCAAUAGGAUGAAGUCUAACACUGGCGAGAGUGGGGCCCUGGUCAUGCUGUAUUGGUUGGACGCCGGAGACUGAGCAGUCAUGGAGGUACCCCAGGCCUAUGUGACUAGCCCCCAGUAGAAACCCUAGAGACCAAAGCUCAGGGGCCUUGAAAGCUCCAUGAUAGAGAUGACAGAGCUAUAAGAUGAAAGCAGCCCAAAUCCCUGAGUCACCAAUGUUUGAAGAAGAGCUUCCCAGGAGAGGUACCAGACCCACAUGAGACUUCACAUGAUUAUAAAAUGAACUUCUAUUGUGUUGAAUCUCUGAACUUCAGGGUUGUUUUGCAGCACAGACUACAUUAUAGUGACAAGUAGAGGAAGGUACAGUAAAAGCCUUGCCAUCACUCCCAUUAUACAGAGGAAGAAACUGAGACCUAGAGAAGUUCAGAACCUUGCUACAUCAAUCAGAAGUACAAGCCAAGGCUCAUGAAGUGGUUUCCUUAUUUUCUCACCCCAAGUUAGUAAGUCUGUAACUUCUCCUUCACAGUGCAAUUUGUCACGCAGUCUAUGGCACUGUAGAAUUUGGCUAUAGAUCCCUAAGUCAGAAAAGUCCAUGUUUGGAGAACUACUAGUAAGUCAAGACAGAGGAGUGUGACAAAGGCUGACAAAACCCUACCUGCAGCCUGGAGGUCACAGGCAGCCUGCUUUUUGAGUCUCCCUGAAUGGAGGGGAAGGGGCUCUCCCUGAGGGAAUGUGCUCAACUCUGGGUCGUGUGGAAGAGUUAGGAAGUUAACACUCCAUGAGCGACCCUCAUCCAAUGUCGGCUGGGAAUGGGUGGAUAAAUACCCUAACUUUCUA
Molecule: long non-coding RNA, 1161 nt
Filed under: Homo sapiens (human)
Lineage: Eukaryota; Metazoa; Chordata; Mammalia; Primates; Hominidae
Description: HSALNT0267452
Source: RNAcentral